RNAcentral lists this ribosomal RNA (723 nucleotides) under Salmonella enterica subsp. enterica serovar Kentucky. RNAcentral describes it as "partial 23S ribosomal RNA". It matches the Rfam family "Bacterial large subunit ribosomal RNA", at positions 593 to 1315 of the family's 2925-position model. Lineage: Bacteria; Pseudomonadati; Pseudomonadota; Gammaproteobacteria; Enterobacterales; Enterobacteriaceae. The record is from RNAcentral.
GUGACUGCGUACCUUUUGUAUAAUGGGUCAGCGACUUAUAUUCUGUAGCAAGGUUAACCGUAUAGGGGAGCCGAAGGGAAACCGAGUCUUAACUGGGCGUUAAGUUGCAGGGUAUAGACCCGAAACCCGGUGAUCUAGCCAUGGGCAGGUUGAAGGUUGGGUAACACUAACUGGAGGACCGAACCGACUAAUGUUGAAAAAUUAGCGGAUGACUUGUGGCUGGGGGUGAAAGGCCAAUCAAACCGGGAGAUAGCUGGUUCUCCCCGAAAGCUAUUUAGGUAGCGCCUCGUGAACUCAUCUUCGGGGGUAGAGCACUGUUUCGGCUAGGGGGUCAUCCCGACUUACCAACCCGAUGCAAACUGCGAAUACCGAAGAAUGUUAUCACGGGAGACACACGGCGGGUGCUAACGUCCGUCGUGAAGAGGGAAACAACCCAGACCGCCAGCUAAGGUCCCAAAGUCACAGUUAAGUGGGAAACGAUGUGGGAAGGCUCAGACAGCCAGGAUGUUGGCUUAGAAGCAGCCAUCAUUUAAAGAAAGCGUAAUAGCUCACUGGUCGAGUCGGCCUGCGCGGAAGAUGUAACGGGGCUAAACUGUGCACCGAAGCUGCGGCAGCGACGCUUAUGCGUUGUUGGGUAGGGGAGCGUUCUGUAAGCCUGCGAAGGUGUCCUGUGAGGGAUGCUGGAGGUAUCAGAAGUGCGAAUGCUGACAUAAGUAACGAUAA